CGACUGAGCCCAAGGCACUUCUAGAGAAUGACCAGAGUUACGCUUGUUGUCCUAGUGUAAUUAUUAAAAGAUAAUUUUGACCCUUUCAUAGUCAAAAGUGUACCUGGUGGGGAGAAAUUAGUGUCUCCCUAGUUCUAGUCGUUUGGUUUGAGACAGGGAGGAGGGGGCGGAGGGAGGAGGCGAGCAGGUGAGGGGCGUUCUCUCUAAUAGGUCCCUUGCUCGACCUCCGGUGGCCUGAAGAAACUUAAUUUCGAAUCUGCAGACCCGUGGGGGCAACUGCGAUUGUACCUUUGCUCUUUUAACAACCGCUGUGCUAAUCGAAGUGGUUAAAGGCUCGUUUUUGAACUUCUCUCAGUAAACUGAGAAAGUAACAGUACUUCCUGAAAGCAUCAAGAAGAAAAAUGUCGGUGACACUGCAUACAGAUGUAGGUGAUAUUAAAAUCGAAGUCUUCUGUGAGAGGACACCCAAAACAUGUGAAAAUUUCUUGGCUCUUUGUGCCAGUAAUUACUACAAUGGCUGUAUAUUUCAUAGAAAUAUCAAGGGUUUCAUGGUUCAAACAGGAGAUCCAACAGGUACUGGAAGAGGAGGUAGCAGUAUCUGGGGCAAGAAAUUUGAAGAUGAAUACAGUGAAUAUCUUAAGAUAAGGAAACUAGCCAGAGUCCAGUGUAUAUGUGAAGAGAUUAUGGGGAUUUUGGUUUUGUUGUCUGCCUGAUCAUUUCAUGCCAGCACACUGUUCCUUAAUAUAAAUCACAACGUUAGAGGUGUUGUAUCUAUGGCUAAUAAUGGCCCAAACACCAAUGGAUCUCAGUUCUUCAUCACCUAUGGGAAGCAGCCACAUCUGGACAUGAAAUACACAGUAUUUGGAAAGGUAAUAGAUGGUCUGGAGACUCUAGAUGAAUUGGAGAAGUUACCAGUAAAUGAGAAGACAUAUCGACCUCUUAAUGAUGUACACAUUAAGGACAUAACUAUUCAUGCCAACCCAUUUGCUCAGUAGCUGUAAUAGACCUGGACAAAUACUUGGCAAACUAUUCAAGGAACACACCUAUUAUGGUUCACCCAGUUUUAAUUAUGUCAGAGAUUGCAUCAUUAUACAGCUUGUUUACAACUAAGAUCUACUUGUUUACAGCUAAGAUCUUCUAUGAGUUGGUGUUACCAAGGGAAGCCAAACAGCUUUUACUCCUAUUCUUAGAGGGUAUUCUUUACUGUAACUAUUACCUAAUGCAUUUCUUUAAUUUUUUUUAAAAAACCCUAUGUUUAAUUUUGUUUUUCCAUAUAAAUAUUCAUUUUAAAAUGCUGAGUCUCAAAUCCAGGCAUUGUUGAGCACCCUAAUUACAUGCUCCUACCAUAUGUAGUCCACAUCCUGGAAAUAUUAUUUUCUAUUAAUUAUUUACUUUAUACAGUUAGAAAGAGGAAGGACAAAUAAAGAGAUGGCCUGGAAAGGCCGGUCAAUCCAGUUGUUAUUUUCCCUGGUCUUUAUAGUAAAGGCUCAGAGAAGUCUUGAAGUACAGUAAACACUCAGAAUUUCCCAACUCAUGUGCCCAUGGAACAUUUUUAAAAAAUAUAUCUUUUUUUGUAAAGCAAUUAUACCCCAAUAAAGAUGUUAAAAAUAAAUAAAUAAAUAAAUAAAACUCUUAAAAA
This is an RNA transcript of Aethalodelphis obliquidens (Pacific white-sided dolphin), 1639 nucleotides long. It is a transcript of the gene named peptidylprolyl isomerase like 3, with no coding region annotated. Lineage: Eukaryota; Metazoa; Chordata; Mammalia; Artiodactyla; Delphinidae. The record is from RefSeq and is a predicted model, not a curated record. The transcript is spliced from 8 exons.